AGCUUUGUGCAGUGGCAAUAUUGUAGCCAAUGAGGUUUAUCUGAGGUGCGAUUAUUGCUAAUUGUGACCCACACUCUGUGAAGUUAGAUGUAAACUUUCAGACAGUGGAUAAGCUGUGAGUAGC
This 124-nucleotide small nuclear RNA is filed under the name Chinchilla lanigera (long-tailed chinchilla). RNAcentral describes it as "U4 spliceosomal RNA (ENSCLAG00000020996.1)". It matches the Rfam family "U4 spliceosomal RNA". From Rfam's summary of the family: U4 small nuclear RNA (U4 snRNA) is a component of the major U2-dependent spliceosome. The structure of U4 snRNA from yeast and human has been reported. U4 snRNA presents a k-turn RNA motif in the 5p-SL related to recognition of Snu13 protein. Lineage: Eukaryota; Metazoa; Chordata; Mammalia; Rodentia; Chinchillidae. The record is from Rfam by way of RNAcentral.